CUACGUGCCAGCAGCCGCGGUAAUACGGAAGGUCCAGGCGUUAUCCGGAUUUAUUGGGUUUAAAGGGAGCGUAGGCUGGAGAUUAAGUGUGUUGUGAAAUGUAGACGCUCAACGUCUGAAUUGCAGCGCAUACUGGUUUUCUUGAGUACGCACAACGUUGGCGGAAUUCGUCGUGUAGCGGUGAAAUGCUUAGAUAUGACGAAGAACUCCGAUUGCGAAGGCAGCUGACGGGAGCGCAACUGACGCUUAAGCUCGAAGGUGCGGGUAUCAAACAGGAUUAGAUACCCUGGUAGUCCGCACAGUAAACGAUGGAUGCCCGCUGUUGGUACCUGGUAUCAGCGGCUAAGCGAAAGCAUUAAGCAUCCCACCUGGGGAGUACGCCGGCAACGGUGAAACUCAAAGGAAUUGACGGGGGCCCGCACAAGCGGAGGAACAUGUGGUUUAAUUCGAAGCAACGCGAAGAACCUUACCAGGGCU
Molecule: ribosomal RNA, 477 nt
Filed under: uncultured bacterium
Lineage: Bacteria
Description: bacterial SSU rRNA
Rfam family: Bacterial small subunit ribosomal RNA
Source: RNAcentral